This 207-nucleotide long non-coding RNA is filed under the name Nicotiana benthamiana. RNAcentral's name for it is "long non-coding RNA (NBEN_LNC038907)". Lineage: Eukaryota; Viridiplantae; Streptophyta; Magnoliopsida; Solanales; Solanaceae. The record is from RNAcentral.
UGCCUUGUUUGCUUGGCCUACUGCGAUCCAGCCGCGGUUGACUAGAGUCGCGGUGACAUCUUGCCCAGUCCUCCUUUGCUCCUUUCUUGCUUAUUUUCACUUGCAUUCUUCUUGAUUGGCCUUUUAUCCACAUUAUUGACUCUAAAACAUUCCAUAGUCCCUUCCUAACUUCAAUUAGAGUAUUUUGUCCCUGCGAAGCAAAAGAAC